This 433-nucleotide ribosomal RNA is filed under the name uncultured bacterium. RNAcentral describes it as "partial 16S ribosomal RNA". It matches the Rfam family "Bacterial small subunit ribosomal RNA", at positions 29 to 507 of the family's 1533-position model. The record is from RNAcentral.
AACGAACGCUGGCGGCAUGCCUAACACAUGCAAGUCGAACGAGACCUUCGGGUCUAGUGGCGCACGGGUGCGUAACACGUGGGAAUCUGCCCUUUGCUUCGGAAUAACAGUUAGAAAUGACUGCUAAUACCGGAUGAUGUCGAAAGACCAAAGAUUUAUCGGCAAAGGAUGAGCCCGCGUAGGAUUAGGUAGUUGGUGGGGUAAAGGCCUACCAAGCCGACGAUCCUUAGCUGGUCUGAGAGGGUGAUCAGCCACACUGGGACUGAGACACGGCCCAGACUCCUACGGGAGGCAGCAGUGGGGAAUAUUGGACAAUGGGCGAAAGCCUGAUCCAGCAAUGCCGCGUGAGUGAUGAAGGCCUUAGGGUUGUAAAGCUCUUUUACCAGGGAUGAUAAUGACAGUACCUGGAGAAUAAGCUCCGGCUAACUCCGUG